RNAcentral lists this ribosomal RNA (253 nucleotides) under uncultured bacterium. RNAcentral's name for it is "partial 16S ribosomal RNA". It matches the Rfam family "Bacterial small subunit ribosomal RNA", at positions 524 to 776 of the family's 1533-position model. The record is from RNAcentral.
UACAGAGGGUGCAAGCGUUAAUCGGACUUACUGGGCGUAAAGGGCGCGUAGGCGGUUUUUUAAGUCAGCUGUGAAAGUCCUGGGCUUAACCUGGGGAUGGCAGUUGAAACUGAGAGACUAGAGUCGAGUAGAGGGGAGCGGAAUUUCCGGUGUAGCGGUGAAAUGCGUAGAUAUCGGAAGGAACACCAGUGGCGAAGGCGGCUCUCUGGGCUCAGACUGACGCUGAGGCGCGAAAGCGUGGGUAGCGAACAGG